AAAAACAAAUUAUCAGAAUCUAAAUUUUAAAAACGAGCUGAUACUGCUGAUUGGUGUACCACUGAUGUACGUAGAAAGUUGAGAAUAGAGGAUACAUAAAGUUAUUUAAUUUAUACAUAUAGGCAACGAUAAACCAUUGCUAAUGAAAAAUGAUUCAGAGGAAACUUCAGUAGUACAUGUUUUGAAAAGCCGUAAUAUGACGAUUUUCGACGAAAUUUGAUAUUAAAGUAUUAAAAAAAUUCAAGAAUACUACACUAUACUCAACUUGUUACUGAUAAAUGCAAUUUAAAACGAAUGUCCAGUAAAACUGUCUAGCAUUUCUUUUUGGUCAACCAAUUUUAUCUACAGGGUACCUA
Non-coding RNA from Cinara cedri, 356 nucleotides. NCBI's taxonomy places the organism in Eukaryota, Metazoa, Arthropoda, Insecta, Hemiptera, Aphididae. The record is from the annotation of a GenBank genome assembly.